This 369-nucleotide unclassified non-coding RNA is filed under the name Hevea brasiliensis (rubber tree). The record is from RNAcentral. Lineage: Eukaryota; Viridiplantae; Streptophyta; Magnoliopsida; Malpighiales; Euphorbiaceae.
GAAAGGAGGCAGCGUGAAGGUGAUUUAAGCAACUUUCUAUCUAAAUAUUACCAAUUGAAUGUAAUGGUUUAUUUAGGCAUCAAGGUGUUGCUGUCUGUUUCUUGUCUUGUGGCCCCCUUUCAGACACAACAAUUACAAACAAAACAAUAACACCUUUCUUUCUUAGUUCCUUUAGGAUUCUUCUAGUGUGCUCUAACAUGUUUCUUGCUCCGUGUUUAAAUGGAUUGGCAGGGGAAAUGUUGUGGAAAUUGAAGUUUUCUGAUAAAUGCAAUGAUAGUAUAGUUAAAUUUAGCAAGGAAAUCCUUAGUUGUCAGAUUUUGUUUUUGUUGUUGAACUACUUAAUUCUUAUUGAAAAGGCCUGAUAUCCUG